RNAcentral lists this ribosomal RNA (116 nucleotides) under Castor canadensis (American beaver). The record is from RNAcentral. Lineage: Eukaryota; Metazoa; Chordata; Mammalia; Rodentia; Castoridae.
GUCUACAGCCACACCACCCUGAACGCGCCGGAUCCCGUCUGAUCUCAGAAGCUAAGCAGGGUCAGGCCUGGUUAGUAUUUAGGUGGGAGAUGCACUGCAAGUGUAAAACACAAAUC